RNAcentral lists this long non-coding RNA (378 nucleotides) under Populus trichocarpa (black cottonwood). Its description in RNAcentral is "long non-coding RNA (PTRI_LNC000980)". The record is from RNAcentral. Lineage: Eukaryota; Viridiplantae; Streptophyta; Magnoliopsida; Malpighiales; Salicaceae.
CAACAUUCAUAGAAUUUGAUAUCAACGUGGAGUCUGAAAUACACAUCACCUUCAAAUGCAUCAGUGCCUAUAGUUGCAAUUCCCCUGUGCAUAAAAAAAUCCCCAGUGCCUCCAACUACAGAUAUAUCUCUACUCUUCACCAAAAUUGGGUCGGCUCCAAUGAAACUUAUGGUCCCUUGGUGUUGUGUGCUAUUAAGAGCAAAUGUAAAGCCGAGCCAAGAAGUGAAGGUGUUCUUGGUAUCAUAGAUAUACAUGCCUUGCGCCCUACCAACUGGUGGUGAAUGAAGAUUGUUGUCAAGGGUAAUGGGAUCAUCGAAAACUAUAAUGUUGCCAAAAUGGUUCUGCCCUGCUAAGAUGGUUAAGUUAGCCCCUUCCGGU